CACGGGGGGAGCAAGCGUUGUUCGGAAUCACUGGGCGUAAAGCGCACGUAGGCGGCUUUUUAAGUCAGGGGUGAAAUCCUGGAGCUCAACUCCAGAACUGCCUUUGAUACUGAGAAGCUUGAGUCCGGGAGAGGUGAGUGGAACUGCGAGUGUAGAGGUGAAAUUCGUAGAUAUUCGCAAGAACACCAGUGGCGAAGGCGGCUCACUGGCCCGGUACUGACGCUGAGGUGCGAAAGCGUGGGGAGCAAACAGG
This 253-nucleotide ribosomal RNA is filed under the name uncultured bacterium. RNAcentral describes it as "partial 16S ribosomal RNA". It matches the Rfam family "Bacterial small subunit ribosomal RNA", at positions 524 to 776 of the family's 1533-position model. The record is from RNAcentral.